CCCAGACUCCUACGGGAGGCAGCAGUGGGGGAUAUUGCACAAUGGGGGGAACCCUGAUGCAGCGACGCCGCGUGGGUGAAGGAGCGUUUCGGCGCGUAAAGCCCUCUCGGCAGGGAAGAAGGAGGACGGUACCUGACUAAGAAGCCCCGGCUAACUACGUGCCAGCAGCCGCGGUAAUACGUAGGGGGCAAGCGUUAUCCGGAUUUACUGGGUGUAAAGGGGGCGCGGACGGCAGCGCAAGCCAGGAGUGAGAGCCCGGGGCCCAACCCCGGGACUGCUCUUGGAACUGCGCGGCUGGAGUGCAGGAGGGGCAGGCGGAAUUCCUGGUGUAGCGGUGAAAUGCGUAGAUAUCAGGAGGAACACCGGUGGCGAAGGCGGCCUGCUGGACUGCGACUGACGUUGAGGCCCGAAAGCGUGGGGAGCAAACAGGAUUAGAUACCCGCGUAACU
Molecule: ribosomal RNA, 449 nt
Filed under: uncultured bacterium
Lineage: Bacteria
Description: partial 16S ribosomal RNA
Rfam family: Bacterial small subunit ribosomal RNA
Source: RNAcentral